GAAUUUGAAGCAAUUAUUGCAUUUAGUUUCGACCUAACCUUAGGCUUACAGCCCUCAUUCU
This 61-nucleotide transfer RNA is filed under the name Culicoides arakawae. RNAcentral's name for it is "tRNA-Arg". Lineage: Eukaryota; Metazoa; Arthropoda; Insecta; Diptera; Ceratopogonidae. The record is from RNAcentral.